AACGAACGCUGGCGGCAGGCCUAACACAUGCAAGUCGAGCGCCCCAGCGAUGGGGAGCGGCGGACGGGUGAGUAACGCGUGGGAACGUACCCUUUGCUACGGAAUAGCCUCGGGAAACUGGGAGUAAUACCGUAUGUGCCCUUCGGGGGAAAGAUUUAUCGGCAAAGGAUCGGCCCGCGUUGGAUUAGGUAGUUGGUGGGGUAAUGGCCUACCAAGCCGACGAUCCAUAGCUGGUUUGAGAGGAUGAUCAGCCACACUGGGACUGAGACACGGCCCAGACUCCUACGGGAGGCAGCAGUGGGGAAUCUUAGACAAUGGCGCAAGCCUGAUCUAGCCAUGCCGCGUGAGCGAUGAAGGCCUUAGGGUUGUAAAGCUCUUUCAGGGGGGAAGAUAAUGACUGUACCCCCAGAAGAAGCCCCGGCUAACUCCGUG
Molecule: ribosomal RNA, 432 nt
Filed under: uncultured bacterium
Lineage: Bacteria
Description: bacterial SSU rRNA
Rfam family: Bacterial small subunit ribosomal RNA
Source: RNAcentral